UCCGGUUUGUCACCGGCAGUCUCCCUAGAGUGCCCUUGCGUAGCAACUAGGGACAAGGGUUGCGCUCGUUGCGGGACUUAACCCAACAUCUCACGACACGAGCUGACGACAGCCAUGCAGCACCUGUGUUCCAAUUCCCUUUCGGGCACACCCACCUCUCUGCAGGGUUCCGACCAUGUCAAGGGUAGGUAAGGUUAUUCGCGUUGCAUCGAAUUAAUCCACAUCAUCCACCGCUUGUGCGGGUCCCCGUCAAUUCCUUUGAGUUUUAGCCUUGCGGCCGUACUCCCCAGGCGGGGAACUUAAUGCGUUAGCUGCGGCACCGACGACGUGGAAUGUCGCCAACACCUAGUUCCCACCGUUUACGGCGUGGACUAC
This 375-nucleotide unclassified non-coding RNA is filed under the name uncultured bacterium. Its description in RNAcentral is "contains 16S-23S intergenic spacer region". The record is from RNAcentral.